GGGUUUAUAGGUGAUACCCCGACGACUCAUAAUCGGCAGGUCCCCAGUUCAAGUCUGGGUGGGCCCACCA
RNAcentral lists this transfer RNA (70 nucleotides) under Thalassobium sp. RNAcentral's name for it is "tRNA-Met". Lineage: Bacteria; Pseudomonadati; Pseudomonadota; Alphaproteobacteria; Rhodobacterales; Paracoccaceae. The record is from RNAcentral.